RNAcentral lists this ribosomal RNA (433 nucleotides) under uncultured bacterium. Its description in RNAcentral is "partial 16S ribosomal RNA". It matches the Rfam family "Bacterial small subunit ribosomal RNA", at positions 29 to 507 of the family's 1533-position model. The record is from RNAcentral.
AACGAACGCUGGCGGCAUGCCUAACACAUGCAAGUCGAACGAACCCUUCGGGUCCUUUGUCCCACGGGUUCGUCACGCGUGGGAACCGUCCCUCAUGUUCGGCCUACCUCUCCGACAGGGGUGCUAAUACCGGACAAUGUCUUCUACCCGAUGAUUUAUUGCCUUUGAAUGUGCCCGCGUGGGAUUAGCUUGUUGUUAGGGUAAAAGCAUACCACGGCGAGCAUCCAUAGCUGGUCUGGGAGGCAGCUCAGCGACACUUAGAGGCGGACGCGGCCGGGACUCCUACGCGAGGCAGCAGUGGGGAAUAUUGGAAAAUGGGCGAAGGCAUGAUCCAGCAAUGCCGGGUGAGUGAUGAAGGCCUUAGGGUUGUAAAGCUCUUUUAACCGGGAUGAUAAUGACGGUACCGGGAGAAAAAGCCCCGGCUAACUCCGUG